Molecule: ribosomal RNA, 253 nt
Filed under: uncultured bacterium
Lineage: Bacteria
Description: partial 16S ribosomal RNA
Rfam family: Bacterial small subunit ribosomal RNA
Source: RNAcentral
UACGUAGGUGGCAAGCGUUGUCCGGAUUUACUGGGCGUAAAGCGCGCGCAGGCGGUCGAUCAAGUCCCGUGUGAAAGCCCCCGGCUCAACUGGGGAGGGUCACGCGAUACUGAUCGACUCGAAGGCAGGAGAGGGUAGUGGAAUUCCCGGUGUAGUGGUGAAAUGCGUAGAUAUCGGGAGGAACACCAGUGGCGAAGGCGACUACCUGGCCUGUUCUUGACGCUAAGGCGCGAAAGCUAGGGGAGCAAACGGG